Molecule: non-coding RNA, 77 nt
Filed under: Paraburkholderia aspalathi
Lineage: Bacteria; Pseudomonadati; Pseudomonadota; Betaproteobacteria; Burkholderiales; Burkholderiaceae
Also listed under: 2 other names
Source: RNAcentral
UCGAGCUGUAUGCUGGGAAACUCGCACGUACAGUUCCUCGGGGGCCGCGUUUCCGAGAGGAGACGUGGCUACCCAAU